This is a long non-coding RNA of Epinephelus moara (kelp grouper), 3513 nucleotides long. RefSeq lists it as uncharacterized. NCBI's taxonomy places the organism in Eukaryota, Metazoa, Chordata, Actinopteri, Perciformes, Serranidae. The record is from RefSeq and is a predicted model, not a curated record. The transcript is spliced from 2 exons.
CUGUGCUUUUACUACUUUGGCAAGACAAAAUGUCUGCUGUUUAAAAAAAACAAAAAACUUUUGCUUCAACUGUGCAGCUAAAGACAUCUGAGAAGAAGCCCAGUUUCUAAAGUGUUAAUAGAUUAAAUAUUAAAUGUGUGAAAUCGCAUUUGCCUGAGCACGUGUAAAUUCCCAAGUUACAAUUUGAUAGUCGAACAUCAGCUAGUAUUUUUAAAUACUAACUUCACAUAAGCAAAUUUUAAAACAUUUUUUUGUGUUUACUGAAGGUCAGCUAUCAGAAGCUUCAGAUUUUUCCCCAUUUUUAGUUUCCUUCAAUCAUGUAUGUUCUUUGUUCACAAAUCACAUAUGCACUGACAGAUUUUUUUUUUUUUUUUUUUAAUACAUGUUUUAACUCUACAAACGCUUCCUAACAUGCUCCAUGAUACCUACCUGCCUCCAGCUCCGCUCUCAAACUUUUGACUGACACGUGCUCAGGCUUUUUGUGCGCUCCACACACACCACGUGAUUCAUUCAGACCCCAGACGGCGAUCAUGACUCAGGUGCUCCAGGCAGGUAAUUAGUGACGUAAUAAUUGCCACUCUUCUUACAUUUCUUCAGCCUCAGGGGCGUUUUAUUUUUUAACAGGGCGUUUACACCGGUAGUUAAGCUAUUCAUGCUGCCUCCCUGUCAUGAAUCAGAGUCAUCGUUAAAGUUAUCAGUAACACCUGUGUUUCUCCCGCUGUGACAUGUCCAGUUUUUUGUUUGGUAAAGUCUUUUUCAUACCUAAAGUGAAGGUUAUUAACUGUGAUGCAAGAAUACUUUAAUGUAUGUGUGUUUUUCCCCUCAGGUAUGACCGCUGAAGUAUUGUUCUUGUGAAAAGAUGUGAUAGAGAGCCAGGCAGAUCAUGAGGUGGCACACAGGAGCUGCAGCUCUUGCAGCAGGUUGCAUCAGUCUCGUCAGAUCCGGCCCUCGCAGCUGUGAAUAGCGCCCCCCCACAGCACUUCACUGCAUGACUAACACAAGGUGAAACCACUGUCACAUUUUACAGUGAGUGUAUUUGUGUGAGACAACUGAGCUCAUAUUUGCCAUCAGCCAAGGACAUGUGACUCAGUCAGCUCAGAUAUCAGGGAGUGUUACUGAUUAGAAAUUUACAGCACAGAAUCAGAUGAAACAACCUCAACCUUGGCCAAAAGAUAACUGUAGUUAAUAUGAAACUAGUGAUACUGGAGAGAGCUCAUAACAGGAAGUACAGUCUUCACUUCAGCCCUUUAACCAACAUACUAAGACGUUGUAAUAAUCAGACGAACAAGUGUGUAGUUCAAAGCAUUUUAUUGCAUUUUUUUUUUAGAAAAACAAUACAAAAUUCUGUAGCAACGGUCAUAAAUGUUGCUUCGAGUGAACUGCAAUCAUUCACAUGGUACAGUAAAGUGCUUAUUUUAAAUCAAAAUAUUUCGUAUUAAAGGAUGUAUUUAUUUUAAAUCUUCUCCCAUGAACACGAUGGGCUUGGGGUGAUUCAGACAGUGUUUGAAUCAGGUGUCAACGCUCAAACAAUAAAAUAAAAUUGAGACUGAAUCAACGUAGACAGAAUGACCCCACACCAUGUCCGUGAAAUGAAGCAUUUAUAAAACAUUUUGAUCAAUGUUGCUGGAUUGUAAAUGCUUUUGCCUGUGGGCUACAUUCAAAUUGUGGGGAGGUGGAUGAUGGACUGUCCAUUUGAAUGAAUGACUGGAUUUUAACACUUGCUUACUUCAAAAUGACUUACAAUAUAAAAAUUGCGAGGCUUAAGGAUAUCAUUUUGUCCCGUCUCCCCCCCCAGUAAAAGGCAGUCCAAAAAGCUACUGCCAUUCGACAAAAGUAGAAAUGGUCAUGACCAAAAAAACUGUUAUACCAUUCAGGAUAUUACAGAGUAUGGCCAAUAUGUGUGCGUUUGAGUAUCCAACCCUAUCAAAAAGUAGGGACCAACUCAUCUGAUGCUCAAAAGGGAGAAAAAGGCAGAAUACUGAACUGUAUAGGUAUUUUCAAAAACCCAAGAUUGCCUUGAUCAUCAGCUUAAUGCUUUGAGAUUACUGAUAGCAAAGUAGUUUCCCAAAUGGAGAAGAAACAGCUGCAUACACAAAUUCAAGUAAGUCUUAUUAUAAGACAUAAAACCCCAUAACGAUGCAUCUGUAGAAAGGUAUUUCAGAACUAUUACAGUGUCCUAUUAUCAGCAUAAUGACACCAAGAGAGCCAUUUCCAGAGUACCGUUGCUGCAGUGCUGGCAACAGGACAUGGACAAUCAGAAGUCCGCACUUCUCACUGCUCGGUGAUGAUCACACGUUCAAUGUCAUGACUUGAACCCUCUUUGGUGAAAUGGCUACAGUGUUGUGAGACCUCAUCACCAGUCCAUUACCUGUCAGUUUCAGAAUGAGCUUUAACUUAAUCUGAAUUAACAAAAAAAAAAAAAAAAGAUUAUUGCCAACUCUUAACACAUAAAAAAAUAAAACUUAAAAACUCCCCUUCACUGGGCAUGAACGCUCCAGAUCAACUAAACAAACUCUUUCCAUCUCACCUCAUACACCACAUACUCUGAACUUUUAAAAACAAAAAACGAGGAAAACAUCCGGUGUUUCACCUGAACUGAACAGCACCUGCAUGAAAACCACCAUAUAGAAAAUAAAAAGCUUAUUAACAGCCAUACAAAAAAAGGAAAAAAUAAAAAUCAGUGUGGCACAAUGACAUGGAGUUUUCAAACAUGAAACAUAAAGUAAACUUAAUACAGCUACACAUUUAUGGAAGACUUUUUUUUUUUUUCUUUUUUUCUUUUUGUGGAAUGUUUUCCUUUUUUUUUUAAUGUUUCUUUUUUGGAAAAUCUUAUCUGCCUCCUUUUUUGUCAUGAGAAUUUAUGUCAUUUUGAAAGGGGUGUCUCAUAAAAAAAAAAACAAGACAAUAGCGAACCUUUUUCGGGGGGAAAAAUGGUCCAAAUAAAUGUAUUCAAUCAACAGAUGACACUGUCACAUUGGCCAAAAUGUGCUUUUCAAACCCCUGAUAGGAGUUCUAACCUUUACUGACAAAAUAGUCAAGGUUAAAUCUUAUGUAUUGAUUUGUAGAAACAAAAAUUACAAAAAAAAUAAAAAACAAAAACAAGUUCUGGUUGUGGCAAGGGGACAUGUCAUGAAUUCUUUACAAUUAAAGUAACACUGACCCAGUUUCAAACAAAAUUAGCUUGUACCAACAGACCAGAUAUACUUCAGAGAUAGCUCAGAAGUCUAAUUUUGGGAUGGCCAUGCAUCACAAACCAAGUAAAUUAGUUUAAUCCAAUAUUAUUAGACUUGCCUGACGGUCUCAUUUAAACACUGAAAGGUGUGGCUACUGAUAGUUUGGCAUAUACGUAUGUUCAUGAAAUAAACUGAAUGAAUCGGUGCAACAGUAAUUCAUAGCCGGCUGGGUACAGACAGACAUUCUUUGCUCCAGGAGCAUUAAGUGCAUGACCACUAGCCUAGAUGAGUGCGUGUUUUAUCUCAGACAUUUACAGAGGAGGCCCAGUGUUGAGGAAUU